Molecule: long non-coding RNA, 1438 nt
Filed under: Aotus nancymaae (Ma's night monkey)
Lineage: Eukaryota; Metazoa; Chordata; Mammalia; Primates; Aotidae
Description: lncRNA (ENSANAG00000039356.1)
Source: RNAcentral
CAACGUUGAUCAAGCCGGGGUGGAGAGUGAGACAGCAGGUUUGAAAAGAGCCAGCCUUCAGGGACGGGGGACUGAGAAACUCCAAACAGAACCAAGUCUGCCCGGAGGUCACUCUCUGAUUAGCGGAGGAAUGAAGCCCAGAAAAAAAUAUUCCAAAGUGCCUUCCAAGACUGAACCAAUGAUAUCUGAGGGCUGCCCACCAAGGUCUCCUCUGCCCCACCAAUGGGGCUGGGCCUAUCAAUUCUCCAAAUGCUCCUCAACUCCAUCUCCGUGGAAGAUUUUCUGGAGACGUUCAGGAUCCUGUUCAGACAUCAUAAACUAAACUCCUAAAGAGCAACUGAUGACCUAGAACAAGGAUCAGAGAGCAUAUUCUGGAAAGAACAAGAGAGUAAAUCUUUCUGGCCUUGUGGAUCUGUCACAGAGAUUCAAAUCUGUGGUAGGGGAAAAGCAGCCGCAGUUGGUGUAUAAACGUACGGAGUGUUCAAGACUAUGACAUUGCCUUUCUCGGUCCAGAGCACAUAUAUUGAGCCCUGACAAGUGCCAGGUGCUGGGAUGAGCCACUGACGGUGCCGGCACCAUCCCUGCUCUCAUAGCGCCUACAGGUUAGUGGUCAGGUCAAAAGCCACCGCCAGCCAGGGAUACUGAAUGUAGGCGGGGGAAAACACAGGCCUGGGAAUCAGAAUUGCGUCUUUGCUUUGAGCUUGCUGUGUGGCUGAAGGAAAUUUGCCUGGGCUGUCUGAGCUCACCUCAUCUGGAAAAUGAAGCUUUGAAUGAUUAGAGUGGAAAGAGGCAAGAAAUCAAUAAACAUCUGAGAGUAGGUUGGGCUCAGAUGUGGGCACAUCCCAAUUGCCUCAUCUCUGACUCCCUCAGUCCAUCUUCCUUAAACUUUCAAAGCAAAAUUUGCUUCAGGUCUUGGGAUGCCAGCCCUCAACACAUAAGAAGCCCCUCCCUUGCUCCAAGUACAGGAACUCUCUUCCCUAUGCAGGAUUCAAUGGAUCCCCUUUGCUUUUAGAACAAACACUCAAAUCCCCAAGAUGGCUGGCGCUGCCUUGACCUCUCUCUUCCUCUCCAACCUCAUUUCAGAACGCACGUUCUCUUGUUCUCCCUCUGGCACCCUCUUUUAGUUCCUCUUAUGUCUCAUCCUAACACGGGACCUCUGCCUAGAGCAGUUCCUUCUGCCUCGAGCCCUCUUGACGACUCCUUGCCUGGGGGGCAACUGCGACUCACUCUUCAGAGUGCAGUUCCUGCGCUCCUCCCCAGCAAAAGCCCACUCUGACCACGCCGCUCCCACUUCAUGCUCUCAGAGUCCUGUGCCCCUUUCCUGCUGGAUAAAUGUCUAUCUCCUGGGAACUCCAGAAGAAAACCAGGUCUGUUUUGCUCACCAUAGCACCUGGCACUGAGCAAUAACUUCUGCUGACAUUUAUCAGGCACAUCUUCA